CAGCAGCCACGGGAAUACGUAGGGUGCAAGCGUUAAUCGGAAUUACUGGGCGUAAAGCGUGCGCAGGCGGUUAUAUAAGUCAGAUGUGAAAUCCCCGGGCUCAACCUGGGAACUGCAUUUGAGACUGUAUGGCUAGAGUGUGUCAGAGGGGGGUAGAAUUCCACGUGUAGCAGUGAAAUGCGUAGAUAUGUGGAGGAAUACCGAUGGCGAAGGCAGCCCCCUGGGAUAACACUGACGCUCAUGCACGAAAGCGUGGGGAGCAAACAGGAUUAGAUACCCCCGUAGUCCCUGUCUCUUAUAC
This 301-nucleotide ribosomal RNA is filed under the name uncultured bacterium. RNAcentral describes it as "partial 16S ribosomal RNA". It matches the Rfam family "Bacterial small subunit ribosomal RNA", at positions 509 to 807 of the family's 1533-position model. The record is from RNAcentral.